This is an RNA transcript of Callithrix jacchus (white-tufted-ear marmoset), 13346 nucleotides long. It is a transcript of the gene named coiled-coil domain-containing protein 162-like, with no coding region annotated. The record is from RefSeq and is a predicted model, not a curated record. NCBI's taxonomy places the organism in Eukaryota, Metazoa, Chordata, Mammalia, Primates, Cebidae.
CAUUUAUGAUGGCUGUUCAAUAUUUCAUCACGUCUAUGAGCCAGAUGGAGUCAACUCGUUUCUAUUGUGAGGCACUUUAGGUUGUUUCCAUUUUUCUUUUCUAUUGGAAAAAAUAUAGAAAAUAUCUGUUUACAUUUAUUUUUGUGGACAACUUUUAUUUCCUAAAUUCCUAGAAGAGGAACUAUGGGGUCAAAAGUCACAAACAUGUAAAAUCUUGUCAUAGAUACUGCCAGCUUGCCUCCAAAUUAGCAUCCUGUCUCCCCUCCCCAGCCAUGGUGAGUGAGCCACUGACCUCACUCCAUCAGGGCUGGUCUUAUUGCUAUUUGCCAUCUCUGCUAGUUUGUCUCAAUAACUUACCUUGGCCAAGCCCAUGGUAGGCUUUCCCUGGAAGUCAGUGGAGCACUAGGGUUGCAAUGAUAGGACAGUGCCCUGGGCCUUCCAGAACAAGCAAAUCAGAGCCAGGGGGAUCCCCCAGGCUCAAAGGACAGGCUGGCUUCAAUGGCAGAUGACCAGGGAGCGAGAGCCAGCCUGACCGCAGAAGUGUCACAGAUAAAACUCACGUUACAGUGUAGGCUAGGUCUUAGACUUGGCCCCAUAAACCUUCUCACUCCCAAUCCCCACAGAUAAGAUGCACACACAUAGACACACUCAUUGAUGCACAGAGGGACAAACACACUUGCAUAGAUAUGCAGGUCCUAGUUGGCUAGGUCUGUCCUGCCUUCCGUAUAUUGGCUCCCAUUUCUCUCUAGGACCUAAAUCUAAGCCUGCCUUGGAAGGAUAGGCUGUUCCCUAAUUGCCACCUCUUCAAAAAGCAUGCCCAAUCUCUUGGAGAAAGGGAAUGAGUGGAAUUGCCUAGAGAAUGAUCUGUGUGGGCCUUGGACCGGACCAAGAGAUGGUCCUGCCAGAUCCCCCCAGAGGGCCCCUUUCUGGCCUUUCUCCAGCCAUGACCUUCCCCACAAGGUAAAUCCCCUGGGCCAUAGGGACAUGUCUUCUUAGAGUCCUGGCCUUCAUUUUAGACCAUGCCCUAAGUACCUGGGACCUGGAAUUCCCUGAGUCCAUGGUCUGAAUGAGCCUCUUCCCUGAUCACCUUCGCCAGAGUGAGAGGACCUCAUCACUAGUGUGCAUACUCCUGGCCUGGAAGUGACCAAGGGUUAACUGUGGGAGUGUGGAUGCCAUUUGGAUAUGUGAGCUAGGAUAUCUGCUCACAGGCAUGCAAAGAACUCCCAGCAUGACGUAAGGCUAGAGCUGGGAAGAGAAAGGGGUCACACUGUAAACUAUAGGUUGGGGACCAGCUCUCCCCAGGUCACCACAUUUCAGCAUAGAACUGAGAGUAGUGGCUCAUCCCUAUAAUCCCAGCACUUUGGGAGGCCAAGGCAGGUAGAUCACCUGAGGUCAGGAGUUUGAGACCAGCCUGAUUGUUUGUUUGUUUGAUUUACAACCUUUCAAUGUUUUGACACAUGCUAUGUGGGCCUCCACUGUCCUUGUGUCCCUACAAAUGUUCAAAGCUGACCUGAAAGAGAGGCUUGCAAGGCUUGAGCCCAUGCUCGGAUGUGUAGGAGAAACAAAAAUGAGUCUGUGAGUCAAGACAGUGGGUGCCCCAGGCCCCAGCAUGAUGAGGCUGCCCUGCUGGAGUGGCUGUGACUCAUGCCUUUCUUUUCAGAUCACUUUCAGGGGAGAUCACCUUGAGGCCUGCCUCCUUUCCCUGGGUUGUGAUGUGAUGGCAAGAGAAUGCAGCAACUUUGAGACCUACUCCAUGUGCUUUGAGCAUGUGUUGCGUCAUGCUAAGCAGAGGCUCAGCCACAAAAAGCAAGUUGCAGAGCUCAGUCAUGAUAUGAUCAUGGAAGUCACUGCUCUGAGAGCCCAACGCACAGACUUGGAAGAGGUGAAUCUGAAUCUCAAGAAGCAGAUUAGAAAAGAAGUCCAAGAAGAAUAUGAAGCAUUGGUCCAAGCUUUGUUGAGACCUGUUUACACAAAAGAGAAGCUGGAUGAGAAUCAGCUUAAUUUGAUCCAGAAAGCGUGUGAGCUCAGCGGUGAAGUGAGAACAGAAGGGACUGACAAUAUGAAGGACCUAAAGAAAAAAUGGGUCUCUGCCAGCCCCGAUGAAGGAAUGAAAGAAAAUCCAGCCAAAGAACAGCUGUGGGCCCUGGAGUGGGACAAUUGCAGCCUGGCCACCCUGGUGUGCAAAGUGAGGAGCCUGGGCCGCUGGAGGCUGGCUGUGCAGCAGGCAUGCUUCCAGGCCCAGCUGAGCAGGUCAGAGAAGGAAUUUAUUGAAAGUAAAUAAGAAUGUUUGCACAUCAAACUAAUGGCAGAGCAAGAAGUGGGUUUAUUCCGUCAGCAGGUCCUGGCUUUCAGCAGGCCCUGGCCAGGGUGCAGGCCGACAGCGUGAGGAUGUGAAAGCAGCAGGACAGCCAUGCUCAACUGCUGAAGGCGUUAAAACAUAGAGUGACCCAGGAAGCUCUCACCCAGCGGGAGCUGGAUUUCAUGAAAACAUCCAGCAUGAAGAAGCUCUUGGAAGAUGUGGGGCAAAAAGAACAGCAACUGCAGCUCCUUAGUGAAGAGGCUGAGAGGGCUUCUAAGCUGGGCCAACUGCAGCAGAAAACAUGAAGAGAGACCUCCACCAGAUGAGAGCCCGGCUUGCCAAGGAGAGCAGCAUGAAGCUGGAUGCUCUCCAGUGUAUAGAGGAGCUGCAGAGUCAGCUUCAUGAUGCCCAACACUCAGCUGUCCCCACGGGCUCACCAGGCGGCCUUAUGUCCCAGGCUCAAUACUCCCUAAGUUCUGCUUCCACAUCAUCCAGAUACUCCCAGCAACACUUUUUAAAGACUAAUCUCACAGGCAGUAAAAUAACAGGACAGAUUCAAAGGCCACAGACUGUAAGUACUUAUUAAACACAAAGGAUUGAUGAUGUUUUCCUACCUAAUAUGGCAGAAAAUAUUCACCUGACAGCUUUUCAGGUCCAAACAGCUCCAUCCAGAUUCCCAUUUAGAGCUGACUGGUGAUCAUAUCUUCUUUUUCCAACCUUUAUUUCUACGAGUACUUGAAUGAAUAAAAAUAACUCUAAAAGCCAGUAUACCUCGUAUUUUAUGAAUUUUUCUUAUCUGUACUUGGAAGAUAGUGUUGAAGGAUUGAGAUGAUUACAUCUUGAGUGUCCCAGGUGAAGUAAUGGGUUGGUCCUAGACUUUAAAACCUAAGCAUUGAUUUGAAUUCCUGCAAGCUACAUGGUGGAGUGCUACUUGUGUGGCACCUCCUGUGAAGGGGCCCCUCCAGCACCCCUUUGAGUGGUUUUGCAGUCUCAGUGAACUUCCCAACCAUUUAAUAAGCUUUGGGCAGAUCCUCUCCAAUGAGGUCUGGAUCUCAGCCCUGAAGGGUAGUGUCUGGUUCCUAUAUCUGCUAUCCUUGUAUUCUUUAGAGUUCUCUUUAUUGCUUAUAAGCAAUAUGCCAGUCCUUUUUUAUAGUUAAUUCUUUAAAUCAAACUUUCCCUAUUUGAAUUACUGUGUGCUUUCUGUCUCUUGAUUGGCCCAUGACUGAUACAGAACUUGUUCCAGGAGUGGGGUGUUCCCAGAGGAUAGACCUGCUAUGGUUUGGAUGUUUUGUCUUCUCCAAAAUUCAGGUUAAAAUUUAAUCCCCAAUGUGGCAGUACUGAAAGGUAAGACCUUUAAGAGGUGAUUGGGUCAUAAGGACUGUGUCCUUAUGAAUGGAUUGAUCUAUUCAUGGAUUAAUGGAUUACCUGUGGUAGAUUGUGCUAAAGUACCUGAUGAAGCAUGUGCCUUUAGAAGCCUAUAAAUUGUUAGUACAUUGACUCUCAUGGCAGUCAUGUUGACUAUAGAGACUGUGGUGUGAGGUGGAUUUUUCUGAAUGCACAUCAGCACUUAAAGGAAGAAAAUGACAAGCUUAUGACCUUUAAUUCUGGGCUUAAGUCAUGGUCUGAAAACUAGAGAGCUUCCAUGAUAGCCCUAAAAGUAUCUCUUCCCUUCUCAUAGUCACAGGGAUGAUACUGCUAAAAAUCAAGCACAAAUUUGUAUUAUGGGCAUGCUAAAUUACAAUGAUAGUUGGAUUUACAAGCUCAUCAAGUUUCUCAUUGCCACUGAGAUGGGCCCUGUGAUUUCAAUGAAGAAAAUGCAAUUCCAAAGUGGAAAAGCCAGGUUGGCAGGCUUUAACUGGCAAAAGACAAGGUGGGCACAUCCAUUAUAAAGGGCAAUAGGGUUGUAUAAGUGGUCAGAAUUCCUUGGCCUGCAGAGAUCUUUGGUAGUUAAUGUGUCCCCAGGUAUGGAAUCAUAUGAAAUCAUAGAGAAUUGCUUUGUGUAUGUAACAGAAAAAUCUUUAGGUCUAGUAGCCAAAACUUGAGUCACCAUAGUGGAGAGUCACAGCCUCUGACCCAGAUUCCAGAUUUAGGUCAAUUCACAGACCAGAGGUCCUUGACUGAUGGGGAGGCUGGAUGUCUUUGAGGAAGGACCCUACACUGCUGCAGGUUCAUGUUAUAAAUCUUCGUCCUAACCAUUCCCUAAGGGACCUGCAAUCAUUUUCUUAAAUUGCUGUUCUUCAGAUAAAAGAAAGUACCCAGAGAUUUUGGUGGUUACUAGACCCAGGGCCUAAAUUAAUGCUAAUUCUUGGGUACCCAAAACACCACUGUGGCUUACUAGUCAAAAUGAAGGCUUACAGUAGUCAGGUGACAGAAGGAAUCAUAGCUCAGGUCUGAAUUACAGUGGACCAAAUUGGUACAUGGACCCACCCUGUGACUACUUCCCCAGUUCCUGAGUGAAUAAUUAGAAUAAAUAAAAUUAACAAUAUGAAGAAUUUCCAUAUUGGUGUUUUUGACACAUGAGUUGAGAAUCAAUUACGGUAGGAAGGGAUCAUUGGAAGCCCCUGGAACUUUCCCUAUCAAAAGAGCGAACCAGAAGCAAUUCCACAACCCUGGAGAAAUGGCCCUGGGCAUUAAUGCCACCAUCAAAGACUUGAAAGCAGCAAGGGUGAUGAUACUCAUCCCUUUGUCAUUUAACUCACCACUUUGGCCUGUGCAAAAGACAGAUCUUAGAAAAUAACUAGGGAGUAUCAGGUCCACAUCUUAAUGAGGUAGUGAUUCCAAUUGUAGCUGCUGUCACAGACUUAUCUUUACUGAAAUAAAUUAAUACGCUCCUGGCACUUGGCAGGCAGUCAUUAACGUAAAGCCUUUUGCACCGUGAGAAGCAGUUUGCUUUUACCUGGCAAAGCCACAGUAUAUCUUGAUAGUCUUGCCUCAAAGCUUUGUCAGUUCUCCUUCUCUCUGCUAUGAUACAGUCCACAGCGACCUUGUUCAUCAUGAUAUUCCACACAAUAUCACAUUGGUCCACUAUAUUGAUAACAUUAUGCUGACUGGAAAUAAUGAGCAAGAAGUGGCAAGUACUUAGGUGCUUAAUAAAACAUAAAAACUAGAAGGUGAAAGAAAAAAAUCCCGUAAUUCAGAAACUCAGUGAAGUUUCUAGGGGUUCAAUGAUUUGGAACAAGUUAAAAUAUCCAUAUCCAAAAUGAAAAAUAAGUUGCUGCACUUCACACUAUGCACCAUGAUUAAAGAGACAGGAUGCUUGGUAGGUCAUUUUGAAUUUUGAAGGCAACAUAUACUUUGAGUGUGCUACCUCGACCCAUCUAGAGUCACUCAUAAGAUUAUCGUUUUUUGAGUGGGGACCAGAGCAAGGAAGGCUCUAUACUAAGUUUGAGUUAUAGCACAAGCUGCUCUACCAUGUGGGUCUUAUGAUCCAGCAGAUCCAAUGAUACUGAAAGUAUCAUGGCCUAUAGGAAUAUUGUGUGGAGCCCCCAUCAAGCACCAGUAGUAGAAUCACGGGGAAGCAAACCUAUGUCUUUUAAAGAUUGCUACUCUCCUUUUAAGAAACAGUUUCUGUCUUACUGCUGUGCCUUAGUAGAGACUGAAUACCUAACCAUGGGAUAGCAGAGGAUCAUGUGGCCUAAGCUUUCCAUCAUAAUGUGGAUGUUGUUAGCUAGCCUAGUCACACAGACUUAGCUUGCCUUAGCAGGUCUGAAGGGAGAAGCAUAGCUUGCUUGAACAGGUGGCUCAGACUCUUUCAACACCAACUCCUGUUUCAUUGCCUUCUCUCCCUCAACCCAUACCCAUGGUCUCCUGGGGGUGGUUCUAACAACCAACUGGCCAAGAAAGAAAAAAAAAAUCAAGUCUAGUUUACAGAUUGGUCUGCGUAUGUUGGUGGCAACCCCUCAGGGCAGUGGUCAAAAAAAAAAAAAAAAAUCCUCCCAGUGAACAGAACUUCAAGUAGUAUCUUUGGUUGGCUACUAUGUCUGAACUUAGAGAAGGCCAGAAGUACAGAUCCACACGAAUUCAUGGGUAGUUGCUGAUGGCUUGGCUAGAUAGGGAGUUGGAAGACACAGGCCUGUAAGGCUGGUGACAAGGAAGUCUAGGAAUUAUCUGUGGAUGGACCUCUGGGAAUGGGUACAGGCUGAAGAUAUUUGUCUCAGGUUAAUGCCCACUGAUAUGGUUUGGCUCUGCGUUCCCACCCAAAUCUCAUCUUGUAGCUCCCAUAAUUCCCACGUAUUGGAGGAAGGAGCCAGUGGGAGAUGACUGAACAAUGGGGUUGAGUCUUUCCUGCACUGUUUUUGUGAUAAUAAGUCUCAUGAGAUCUGAUGGUUUUAAAAAUGGGAGUUUCUCUGCACAAGCUCUCUCUUUGCCUGCUGCCAUCCAUGUUAAGACAUGACUGGCUCUUCCUUGCCUUCCACGAUGAUUGUGAGGCCUCCCCAGCCAUGUGGAACGACUGUUAAGUCCGUUAAACCUCUUUCUUUUGUAAAGUGCAGUGUUUCAGGUAUGUCUUUAUUGGCAGUAUAAAAACAGACUAAUACACCCAACAAAGGGCAUCCAUAGCAGAGGAAGCUCUUAUUAAUCAAGUUGACAAAAUAAUGUGCUGAGGUUAUCGGUUACAUUAAUUAUAAACUCAGUGCACAUUCCCCAGCUACUACACCACUUGCUCAGUGGGUCCAUAAAUAAUGCAGCCACAGCUGCAAGGAUAGAGGCUAUGUGUGGGUUCAACAUCAUGGGCUUCCCCUUACCAAGGCUGACAGGCAUUACUGCCAACUGUCCAAUCUGUCAAGAGCCAAGACCAAUAUUGAGGCUGCAAUAUGGCACCAAUUCCAUGGCUAAUGGCCAUCUACCUGAUGGCAGGUUGACUAUAUCAGACCUUUCCCAUCAUGUAGGGGACAGAGAUUCAUCUUCACUGGAAUAGACACAUAUUCUGGAUAUGGAUUGCCUUCCCUGUGCAUAAUUCUUCUGCUAGUACCACUAACCAAUCCAUAUACUCACAAAAUGCCUGGUCUACCAUCAUGGCAUUUCCCAUAGCAUUGCUUCUAAGCAUGGAAUCAAUUUCACAGCAAAUGAAAUGCUGCAAUGAGCUCAUGCCUAUGAAAUUAACAUACCGUAACACCCAUAAGUGGUUAAUCUGAUUGAAAGGUGGAAUGGUUCACUCAAUACUCAGUUGAUAGUUGGGAGAUACUACACUGAAAGGAUGGAGUUCGAUGACAGUACAUGCUUUGAGUCAGAGUAUACAGUUCUAGAAAUCACAGGGUAGAAGUGGGAAUGGCUCCUUUCAUGAUUGUACUUCUCACUCUAGCAAUCUCAAGCUUGCUGGUUUGGUGGUCUUAGCUCCCAGGGGAUCCUUCAAUCAGAGACAUAACAAUGGUUCCACUGAUGUAGGAUCUAAGAUGACAUUGCCCUCGGUUUCUGAUGCCACUGAACCAGUAAGCAACAAAAUGCGUAACUAUACUGGCGUGAAUGAUCAAUCCUGAUUACCAAAGUGAGAGUGUAUUGCUAGUGCACAGUGGAGGCAAAAGGGACUAUUUCUUAACAUAGGAGAUUCUCUGGGUGCCUGAGUACUUCACAUCCAAUAGUAAAGGCUUAUGAAAAAUUACAACAACCAAAACAGGUACCACAGGAGGACUCAGAUUCUUCAGUAAUGAGUAUUUGGGUCCCUCCACCAGGUAAAGAACUCUGACCAGUUGAGGUUCUGGCCAAGGGCAAAAGAAAUCUCAAUGGACCGACUGAGCAAGUGGUGUAGCUGGGGAAUGUGCAGAGGUUAUAAUUGCUGUAACUGAUAACCUCAGUACAUUAUUUGGUUUAUAGAAAUGAUGGCCAUAGUAGCUUUCAAUAUUUUCCAGUUUCCUUUUGUAUGUAUUUAUUUGUCCUAACCAUUUUUAUGUUCUUCCAUUUUAACUUAAUACACGUUUUUGGAGGUUAAACUUACUUUAUUUUUGAGACAGACUGGAAUGCAGUGGUGUAAUCUCAGCUCACUGCAACCUCUGCCUACCAGGUUCAAGUGGUUCUCCUGCCUCAGCCUCCUGAGUAGCUGAAAUAGACAGGGUUUCACAAUGUUGGCCAGACUGGUCUCCAACUCCUGACCUUCAGUGAUCUGCCCGAGACAAAUUGGUCUGCAUGUGGAGCUGUAGUGCUUUAGCUAUCCACCUUUAGAUGAAACCAACAUAUCAUGCAGGCCAAUCCAUCCUGACCUCCCAAACUGCUGGGAUUACACACAUGAGCCACCACGCUGGCCACAAUUAGGUCUUUUGGGUAACAGAGCAUUUGGUGGAACAGUGACAGAACUUGAAUAAAUCAUACAGCCAACAAUGGAUACAAUGACUGCUGGUACUGGGAUUCUCGUGUUGGGGAAAGGGAGCAAAUGUCACUUGUAAGGAAGCAUAGCUGUAUCGUUAGGUGGAAAUGUAGAGCUGUUCCAUUGUUGCUUAGAAGUGUUAAAGUGUAGAGAAGAGCAAAUGUGGAAGCUGAAUAGCCAAAGGGGUGGACUGUGACCAUUACCAAUUUCUUGCUUCAGCCACCAAUCCAUCUGUCAUUGCCUGCUCUGUGAUAAUGAAGCUGGGCCAUAUGACAAUUUCUCCUUAUACACAAAGCUAGAGGAAAGGUUAAGAGGAAAAAAGUACUUGGAGCUCACACAAAGCUAGAAAUCAAGCCUGGUCCUACUAAGCCACAUUAGAACACCUCCUCAGAGGGGUCUGGUCUCAGUAUCGGGGAAGUAGUAUGUUGUUUUGUAAGGGCACUGGAAGGAUGCUGGAGGGAUUUUUCCUGGCUCUGGCUUGCUCCUCUAGGUAGACACCCUCAGUGCCCGCUCUAGCAACUCACAGCUUUACAGUGAAAUGCCACUAGUGUGGUACCUCCUAUACGUGGCUUACCCCCCCACCACCUAGGAUGACUUCCCAGAAGAUUGCCAUUGGUGCGACAAACAUGGGUGGCUUCCCUGGCACUCUCUCAGAUUUACAGCUACUGUGAGCUUCACCUGGAGGGCCAAGACUGCAUGCUGUCUCAUGAGGCUGAAAUUCAGCUUGACGGAGAGUGGGUGGUGGCUGCUUCCUACAUCUGCUGUCUAUCUCUGGAUUCUUUAAAGUUCUUUUUGCUGCUUCACAAAUUUCUUAAAAUUCUGCAGAUAAUAAUGCCUCAUCACUGCAAUCCACUGUUACAGCUAAUAUCUCUUCAUAUCAAACUUUUCCGGUUCAUAUUGUGUGGCUUCGGUCUCCUGAUUGUACUCUGGUUGACACAGAAACAUUAUCAGAGAUGCAAACUUGAAGAAAAUAUUUUUAAAAAUCUAUUCACCAUGGAUUAGCAGCCAGUGUAUUUUCAGAUUAAAACAAAAACCCCUACAAAAUAAGCAAAAAAAAUAGACAACUCACCAAGGAAAUAAUUUCACUCACUAGAAUAUUAAAAUUUAAAAACUGUUCAGCUAUCAAGUGAUCUGCUGCUGGUGGGAAGUGGAAAGUAAUCUGUGAAAAUCCUUUGUGUGGAAACACUAUGAAGCAGCUUUCCACGCCUCCAUUUCUACUCUGGAGGAAGUCACACAUAGAGUGGCAGGUGCAAACAUGCUCUGUAAAAUUGUUGGUAUGAACUAAAAACUGCAAACAGCUUGCCUUUCAACAGGUAAAUACCUGCGUAAAUCAUGGUAUCCAUACUACAUAUAACAACAUGGAAAUUAAGAAUCUGGUGUAGCCAUAUACACUAACUUUGAAAGAUCUCCAAAAAGUGAGUGAACAUUACAGGAUGAUGAUAAAAUAAAAAUCUACAUUACGUAUUACCAAAGGUACAUACAAUUAAGUGAUUAUAAAUUCAUUAACUGUAAAUCAGUUACAGUGGUUCCCUCUGUAUCACUUACCACUCUGGUAAGUGGAGGAAGUCAAGAAGGGGAAAGGGCUGGGGAUGCAAUUUGUUUUCUAAGAAGUAUAUUUAAGAAAAUCUAUGUAUUAAUUGAAUAAUUUAAAAAUAAUAGAUUAAAUACCCUAUCUGGAACUUUUUCUUACAGCUGGGAUGAAAUCAGAUUGGAUUCUGGAAUGACAAAAACACAUUGGAAGCACUGGUCAAGGCCAGGUUCUGUGGCUCAUGCCUGUAAUCCCAGCACUUUGGGAGGCCAAGGAGGGCAGAUCACCUGAGGUCCAAAGUUCGAGAUCACCCUGGCCAACAUGGUGAAACCCCAGCUCUACUAAAAAAUAUAAAAAUUAGCUGGACACGGUGGCAGGCACCUGUAAUCCCAGCCACGUAGGAGGCUGAAGCAGGAGAAUCACUUGAACCUGGGAGGUGGAUGUUGCAGUGAGCCGAGAUCAUGCCACUGCACUCCAGCCUGGGCUACAGAGUGAGACUUCCAUCUCAAAAGUUUGUUUCUAAUGUUUACUGCAGUCAUUAAGAUUACCAUCAAAUUUCAUAUUACUUAAACUAAACGUGAUUAUAUGUAAGGCUAAUACAAAACCCAAAAUUCAUUCUUUCUAAAGCAAAUUAUUCAGUCUACCCUUGCAGGUUUUAAGGCUUAUAGAGGAGUAUAUUCUUAGUCCAAGUCCAGUGAUUUAAAUUAGAACAUAAUUUGGCCCAACAGAAUAACAAGAACCACAUUUUACAGUCACAGCAUGCAGCUUGAUAGUAAUUUAUACCAAACAGUAGCUUGGUUUUUACUUGAUACACAGUAUGAACUAAAAUGGCAGAAAGUCACAAACUAGCUUUCAGAUAUGUAAAAACAAGAUAGCAUGCCUCUCAUAAAUAUCGAUUUGUGGAAGAUCAAUUUGCAAAUCACUCCCAUAGGUGUACCAAGUCCUCCCUCCACCUAUUACUUCCAAGGCUCUGCUUUCUAUUGACAUAUAAAUAUUUGCCUUAGUUACUAUCUGCGAGUCUUGAGAAGCAAUACAAAUUGAGUAGAAAACCCACCCCAAGCAGACUGUUAAGAUAAAUCCACUAUACAUUACAUUUUAUAAGCCAAACGCAGUAACACACUCCACUCAAUAGAAAAGAGAUUAAUUCAAUAAACAUGUAGAUUUAUUUUAAAUCAGUUUGGUACAUGAUACAGAUUGGUUUUGCAGUUUUUAAUGAACUGAAAUAAAAAUGUCUAAAUACAGCAGUGUCUGCCUGUGCAACAAGUAUCUAAGGUAAAAUAAGGUAUUUGAUAGAACAUCUGCAAGGACAAAUCAGAUGAAAAAUCUGAAAAGGUUUCUAUAUACCUUCUGGAUUUUUUUAAAAACCCAAAAAUUAUUAAUGGCUCAAGAUACUACAUUGCUAAAGUUAGGGGAAAAAGUAAAAAGGCUGUGAGUUCUGUUGCAAGAGGUCAUCUGUAGACUUGCAAAAUCUAAUUUUAUAUUAUGCUAGUUGUUGGUGCUCAAAAUUACAGAAGCUUCCAAUCAUUACAUUUCCACAAAAUUUGCUACAUAUGUUGACAUUAAUGUGUGUCAGGGAAUUCUUACCCAGGUAAACAACAAUUAUUACAUCACUGUAGCUAAUUUUUGCCACCUUGGGAGGAAUGGAAUUCUGCAUAUUUUCAAAUUAAUCCUACAGCACUCACUAAAAACUAACAGCCAUGGCACCAUAAUAAAUUUUGUGAGGUACCUAGAAUAUUACUAAUGAAAACAAAAAAUGUGAGGUAAACCUACCUUUCCCCAAGAAACUUUGAAGCCAGAGAUUUUAAACAAUUAAGGCACUUGAAAACAUUAGGUAUAUAUACAAAUGUGCAAGUAAAACAAACUUUACCUGUACCAACGAGUAACAAAGAAACAGUAUAUCUUCAUCUUAACCUUUAAUAGUUAUCUAAAUGCAGACUUUCAGUUUAUGAAAUGAACCAAAGCAAGUUUUCGUUUCCUGCUAUAAAAUAUUGAAAAUCAAGUGUGAAACUCAGCCACUACAGGCUAAAGAAACUAAAUAAAAAACAUUAAUGACCUAGAAAAGCAAAAGCCUAUUUUAAACUACUUAAAGCCUCUGAACUAGUCCAAUGAGUCAAAGGCAAGGGAGAAGUGAUCCUCUAAAACUGAAGACGACCCCUCUAAAUGAGAAAACUAGAGAAGUAAAAGUAUGCAUGCUUAUUACACAAUGGGAAACCAAGAAGAAAGGAAAGGAGAGAAAAAGAAAAAGCACAGUUUAUUCAUCCAGGACAAUCAGUAAAUAUCUACCGUAACUGGAUCAACCAAAAAAUCCUUAGGUGUUCUGAAAUUACACCGGUCACUUCUGCUGUCUUAAAACUUAAAAUGAUUGUCUCAUUUAAAUAGGAAAUGAUACUAAAAUAUGAUUGUCUCACUUAAAUAGUAAAUGAUUCUAAAAUAAUAUAUUUCCUUCUUACCUCACCAAAGUCACUUCUCAAGAAAGUUUGCUGGAAACCCUUUCAAGGUACAAUAGUGCUAGCAUACUUUUUAAAGUACAAAGGAAAGUAUAAUUAAAUCAAUUUAUCUCUAUACUUUUUAACAGCCGAAAGAAAAAUGUUGAGAGGUUCAAUACAGGAAGGCUUUCAAUUUUGUAUAAGAGCCUGUAGCUUAAGUUUCUCUGCUCUGAAAUAAAGUAAAUUUUCAAUUAAAUAUUAACAGUAUAUCUAAAACAGGUUUACUACUGCUCACAUCAAGGUACAUCCACUGACCAAUCCUUAUGUUCCUUAAUGUGAAAGAACAAAUCAUAGGCAUUAAGCUAGAGCUUACCUUUCACUGUCUUCUAAGGCACUGUUCUUUAUUUUCUCAAUGACAUAAGGUGCUUUACACGUAUGAACAACCUGCUACACACUAAUGGUAUCCUUUCCAUUCAUUUCUUUAAAUCUGGAAUGUAAUUCCCUGUGUGGCAUCUUAUUUCUAAUGUAGAAAAAAAAUAACUUAUCAAGCACAAAAUUUUACUCUAAGGAUACCAUUUGGUACUACUAAAUUUAUAAAUUUAUUCCACUUUUGAAAUGAUACCCAAAAAUCCACCUAAUUGAUUCUCAUUUGGCACAUUCUUCUCUAUUCUGUUCAUGAAAUCAAAAUUACUAAAUUUAAACUGCCAAGAGUCAUGUUGUUGUCUGCACAAGACAACAUUUUUUCCAUCACUCACAGAAAGUUACAUUUGGCAUGUUAAGGAAAAAAAAAAACAAACC